Phyllostomus discolor (pale spear-nosed bat) is the source of this 120-nucleotide long non-coding RNA. RefSeq lists it as uncharacterized. The transcript has 3 exons. The record is from RefSeq and is a predicted model, not a curated record. NCBI's taxonomy places the organism in Eukaryota, Metazoa, Chordata, Mammalia, Chiroptera, Phyllostomidae.
UCCAUUAUUUCCAGAGUAGUUUUGAUUAUAAAGAUCAUAAUCUUCUUAACAUAAUGGAAAUGUUUGAUGAGAAUGUCAGGGUUCUGAGCUCUUCAUGGAUACAGUUUUGCAAUAUUUUCA